UGGGUUGUGGCUCAGUGGUAGAUCGCUCGCCCUAGCACGUGCGAGGUGCUGGGUUCAAGCCUCAGCACCACAU
Molecule: transfer RNA, 73 nt
Filed under: Marmota monax (woodchuck)
Lineage: Eukaryota; Metazoa; Chordata; Mammalia; Rodentia; Sciuridae
Description: tRNA.Undet
Source: RNAcentral